RNAcentral lists this long non-coding RNA (1115 nucleotides) under Fragaria vesca (wild strawberry). RNAcentral's name for it is "long non-coding RNA (FVES_LNC004297)". The record is from RNAcentral. Lineage: Eukaryota; Viridiplantae; Streptophyta; Magnoliopsida; Rosales; Rosaceae.
GGACCUCGCCCCAGUCUGACCACAACAUAGGGACUCUAUCCCUAAUGAGCGCUCCCACGCGGCCGGAGUACGUCCUCGACUUCCCGCCCGAUACUAUGUGGCCAUCCCCGUCAGUAUUGAUGACGAUCCUCCCCACGGUACCCACGAUCUUCUCGAGAGCCUUCCCUGUGACGGGGCCUCUCUUCUUCUUUGUCGGCUUCGCUCCGACGGUGCCUAUCACAUGAUAAACCAAAUUGAUUAUUUAAAUCGGAGACCCUUUAAAAAUAAUCAUGCAUCACUGAUUACCUGAGGCGCUCGCGGCGGACGCGACGGAUUCCGUCUCUGUCGCCGAUGAUGAUACCCUCGCAGAAAUAAGAGGCGUAUCAAAAGGCACGAACCGGUACGCCGCUGAUGGAGCCACUGGCGGGGGCAGUGGAUAAAUCGGCGUCCCUGAGUCAUCGACUACAGGUAUGGCCGGUAUCAUCUGCGGAAGGAAUAGGUGAGGCGGCGGCAUCUGUACCCCAGAUGACCCGCUAUCCGAAGAAGUAGGAGCUGGAGUGGGCGCCCGGUGUAUCUCAGGCAUACGGGGUGUAGACACCUCCGUCUAAGGCUGAGUAAACAACUGCCUCGAGGAAUGAGGGAAGCCCCGCUGCCUCGAUGAAGGGGGCACCUCCGGCUGCCUCUGAACCGUCUCCAGAAGGCUCGCACGUCUGGCUGUCAUCUGGCCCUGAAACGUCGUUUGGGGGUUGCUAGAGGUUCCCUCAGACGAUUCGGACCUUUGGCCCUUCGAACUCUUCUUCGAUCUAAAAUAGCCGCUCAUCCUAUUUAAAAUAUUAAUUUGAAUCAAGGCUGAGGCAACAUUGAAAAAGUAAAAAUUCAAGCUUAUCCUUCUCAAAUCUAAGGCUUUAGACUAUUUUGUCUUUAUUGUAUAAAAAAUAUUUUUGAAACCAUAUUUUUUCAUUAUGUCCAUGCUUAAAUUUAAACACUUAAUAUAAUGUGAAAUAUAUAUAUGUUUAAAAUUAUACUUAUUCAAAAAUAUGAAUUCAAUAAAAUAUAUAUAUAUAUAUAUAUUCAUCCGGAUUUGAUAUAAGUUUUUCUAUUUGGUAUUUGUAUUUUAUGUUUAUAAGUUUUUCUAU